RNAcentral lists this transfer RNA (75 nucleotides) under marine sediment metagenome. RNAcentral's name for it is "tRNA-Ile". It matches the Rfam family "tRNA". From Rfam's summary of the family: Transfer RNA (tRNA) molecules are approximately 80 nucleotides in length. Their secondary structure includes four short double-helical elements and three loops (D, anti-codon, and T loops). Further hydrogen bonds mediate the characteristic L-shaped molecular structure. tRNAs have two regions of fundamental functional importance: the anti-codon, which is responsible for specific mRNA codon recognition, and the 3' end, to which the tRNAs corresponding amino acid is attached (by aminoacyl-tRNA synthetases). tRNAs cope with the degeneracy of the genetic code in two manners: having more than one tRNA (with a specific anti-codon) for a particular amino acid; and 'wobble' base-pairing, i.e. permitting non-standard base-pairing at the 3rd anti-codon position. The record is from RNAcentral.
GGCUCCAUAGCACAAUUGGCAGUGCGACCGGCCGAUUACCGGUUGAUGCAGGUUCGAGUCCUGCUGGAGCUACCA